UACAGAGGGUGCGAGCGUUGUUCGGAAUUAUUGGGCGUAAAGGGUGCGUAGGCUGUGCGGUAAGUCACCUGUGAAAACUCUGGGCUCAACCCAGAGCCUGCAGGCGAAACUGCCGUGCUGGAGUAUGGGAGAGGUGCGUGGAAUUCCCGGUGUAGCGGUGAAAUGCGUAGAUAUCAGGAGGAACACCGGUGGUGUAGACGGCUUUCUGGACCGUAACUGACGCUGAGACACGAAAGCGUGGGGAUCAAACAGG
RNAcentral lists this ribosomal RNA (253 nucleotides) under uncultured prokaryote. Its description in RNAcentral is "partial 16S ribosomal RNA". It matches the Rfam family "Bacterial small subunit ribosomal RNA", at positions 524 to 776 of the family's 1533-position model. The record is from RNAcentral.